CGUGUAGGCGGUCAGGUAAGUGGAAUGUGAAAUGCCCCGGCUCACCCGGGGACCGGCAUCCCAAACUGCCUGGCUUGAGUAUGGAAGAGGAUGGAGGAAUUCCUGGUGUAGCGGUGAAAUGCGUAGAUAUCAGGAGGAACACCGGUGGCGAAGGCGUCCAUCUGGCCCAAUACUGACGCUGAGGCGCGAAAGCUAGGGGAGCAAACGG
Molecule: ribosomal RNA, 208 nt
Filed under: uncultured Latescibacterota bacterium
Lineage: Bacteria; Pseudomonadati; Candidatus Latescibacterota
Description: uncultured Latescibacteria bacterium partial 16S ribosomal RNA
Rfam family: Bacterial small subunit ribosomal RNA
Source: RNAcentral